Fundulus heteroclitus (mummichog) is the source of this 567-nucleotide long non-coding RNA. RefSeq lists it as uncharacterized. Lineage: Eukaryota; Metazoa; Chordata; Actinopteri; Cyprinodontiformes; Fundulidae. The transcript has 3 exons. The record is from RefSeq and is a predicted model, not a curated record.
AGGGUUGGUCAGAACAAGAAGGGUGUGUCAGACUUUGUUUAAAAAGGGCUGUGUCCCGUGCUCUGCUCCCACAUCCCUCUCUUUUUCCUCUUCAAACUCAACAACUCCUACACACAAACCGCCACCAUGUCUGGAAUAUUGACCAUAGUUGCGCUCCUUAGGAAGAACUUUGACAUAUAUGCCUCCCAAGUUGGACACAAGGAACAAAUGAGCAAGCAAGAACUCGCUGCUAUGUGUAGAUGCGAGCUUCGUGGAGCAUAUGAAAAACAGUCAGAGGUGUAUAAACUUCUCCAGAUGCUGGAUCAGGAUUGUGACGGUUCUGUAAAUUUUCGAGAAUUUGUCACUUUUGUUGCAGAUGUUGCUGUGCUCCUGGGCUGUAAUGAAAGCUCUCCAACCUGACUGCUUUGUUUUCUUGUCUCAUCUAAUGUCUAGUAAAACUUCUCUGAAAUAAACUUGCUUUGCCACACUGUUUGUGGUUUAAAAUAAAGUUUGAGCAGGUUAAAGUCACGGUGAAUGUGGUGUAUAAUGUUGACUAAAACAUGGAAAAUAAAGCCUUUCUCACAUGUC